UUUUAGGUACACAUUGUUUGGUACAGUCAG
RNAcentral lists this non-coding RNA (30 nucleotides) under Rattus norvegicus (Norway rat). The record is from RNAcentral. Lineage: Eukaryota; Metazoa; Chordata; Mammalia; Rodentia; Muridae.